CUUUUUAAAUAUGUUGUGUAAGAUGUAUUUACUUCUCUGUCUGCUUUUCUUUCUCCAUGUAGGUUUCCCAGAGACUAUGGGUUGAGGAGGAAGUGGAAGCAGCUCUGAGGAGAGAGGGGUUUGCUGCAAAUGAUGAGUGGGUGCUCUACAGGGACCAUUUUAAACCUGAUGAGUUUGACGGGGCUGGGCAGGUUUGUCGGCUUAGACCUGGUGUCAUUCCAUCAGUGUUAAACUUCCCGGCUCAUCUUGGAAGAGUACGUGCCAGAAAGACCACGACCAAGCAGCCUUGAGAUCUUAGGCAGCGUCUCCCUGAGGUCCCUCUCUAUCUCCCCACAUAUCCACCAACCACUGGAACACAUCUCCAAAGUUCUGCUGGACCAGCUCAGCUUCCCCUCAGAAGAAGUGCUGCCACCUGCCAGAUGAAGGAGCCUUUUGAGAGGCAGCUGGCAUCGUGAUUGGACUGUACUUUGGUCUGUUCCAAUCCAGCUUCAGCUCCAGAGACGGCAGGCGGGACGAGUCAACGGAGGCCUGGUGGACGAAGACCAAAGAACUACAGACUCUUCACAACCUGCUCAAACUCUUGGUACAGGACCUCACCACACGGGUCAAGAAGGUUUCUGUCUCAUUUCUACUCUGAAGCUCACCUUCUCCUGCUCAAACUGCUGACAAAUGUUUCUGCUGCUCUAAAGUCUGAUCUCCAGAACUUCCUAAAAACUCUCAAAGUCUCUUCUGCUGCAGGUUGCUUUGUAGAACUGUUCCAGAAAACCUCACUAAACCACAUGGAGGGGCCUCAAGAUAGUCGUCCAAAUGAAACCAUACAAAAACCAAACUAGCACAACCCA
Amphiprion ocellaris (clown anemonefish) is the source of this 842-nucleotide long non-coding RNA. Lineage: Eukaryota; Metazoa; Chordata; Actinopteri; Pomacentridae. The record is from Ensembl.